UACGUAGGGUGCAAGCGUUAAUCGGAAUUACUGGGCGUAAAGCGUGCGCAGGCGGUUUUGUAAGUCUGUCGUGAAAUCCCCGGGCUCAACCUGGGAAUUGCGAUGGAGACUGCAAGGCUAGAAUCUGGCAGAGGGGGGUAGAAUUCCACGUGUAGCAGUGAAAUGCGUAGAGAUGUGGAGGAACACCGAUGGCGAAGGCAGCCCCCUGGGUCAAGAUUGACGCUCAUGCCACGAAAGCGUGGGGAGCA
Molecule: ribosomal RNA, 248 nt
Filed under: uncultured bacterium
Lineage: Bacteria
Description: partial 16S ribosomal RNA
Rfam family: Bacterial small subunit ribosomal RNA
Source: RNAcentral